Molecule: transfer RNA, 68 nt
Filed under: Unio crassus
Lineage: Eukaryota; Metazoa; Mollusca; Bivalvia; Unionida; Unionidae
Description: tRNA-Phe
Source: RNAcentral
GGAAAAAUAGUUUAAACUUACACAAAACAUAACACUGAAAAUGUUACAAUGACCUAGUCUUAUUCCAC